GGAAAUGUGCCCGAAAGCUAGGAAUCUCCUUGAUAGGGAGAA
This 42-nucleotide transfer RNA is filed under the name Isthmohyla lancasteri (Lancaster's treefrog). RNAcentral's name for it is "partial tRNA-Ile". Lineage: Eukaryota; Metazoa; Chordata; Amphibia; Anura; Hylidae. The record is from RNAcentral.